AUAUUUCACCUCCACCCGGAAGGCUAGAGCCAUCCUCUCGGCCUCUAAGUGCACAACGGAACUAGAAAUCAAGGAAGAGAGACCAAAAGGCGUUAGAAAAAUGCAGCAUUGAGAGGCAGCGCGGAGGUCAACUGGACCAUCCCCCUUAGGUUGUGGGGAAGAAAACUGAGACCUAAAAAGGUGAAGCGGUCGUCCCAAAGGCUUCCAGCUGCUCCCAGUACUCAAGGACUUGGAGCACACUUGGGGAAAUGCUCACUGUUGUAUUCCCAUUCCUCACUAUCCGGGAGGCCUGAACUCUCAAACUCCGAAUCUGAUUUCCACUCUCCCAGGAAGGCUUCGGAAAUCACUGUGGAUCGUCAAUACAGGAGUCCAUACUGA
This 378-nucleotide long non-coding RNA is filed under the name Pongo abelii (Sumatran orangutan). RNAcentral's name for it is "lncRNA (ENSPPYG00000039681.1)". Lineage: Eukaryota; Metazoa; Chordata; Mammalia; Primates; Hominidae. The record is from RNAcentral.